GUAUCAGUUAUUUUCUUUAAACCCAAAGAAUUUGGCGGUAGUUUAAUCUUAUCAGAGGAACCUGUUGUGUAAUUGAUAGUCCACGAUUUUAUUUACUUGUUUUUGUUUUUCAAUUUUUAUACCUCCGUCAUAAGAAUAUUUUUAUAGAAUAAAUUUUCUUUUUUAAUAAAGUUAAGUAUGUCAGGUCAAGGUGAAGUUAAUGUACAAGUACUAAUGGGUUACAAUAAGGUUACUUAUACGAAAAUUUAAUGUUUAAUUAAGUUGAAGGUGGAUUUGAUAGUAAAAUGAUUUAUUUAAUUUUUUGGUAUUAGCUCUAAACUAUGCACACAUCGCCCG
Molecule: ribosomal RNA, 336 nt
Filed under: Neoneura maria
Lineage: Eukaryota; Metazoa; Arthropoda; Insecta; Odonata; Coenagrionidae
Description: partial 12S ribosomal RNA
Source: RNAcentral